AGCCGGCGUUGUCCGUAGACACCUCCAAGGUCACAUGGCUGGCAUGACUGCAUGGAGCGCCAUUACCUUCCCGCCGGAGUGGUACCUAUUGAUCUACUCACAUUUGCAUGUUUUUGAACUGCUAGGUUGGCAGAAGCUGGAGCAACAGCGGGGGCUCACUCUGCUCCCGGGAUUUGAACCUGGGACCUUUUGGUCUGCAAGUUCAGCAGCUCAGUGCUUUAACACACUUCGCCACCGGGGCUCCAUGUCUACUAUGUUACUUACCAUAAAAACUAGGACUUCAAUCUUUCUCAACAGAUCAAUCAAUAGCGUAAUCCUUUGGUGGGAUGUAGUGUAGGACUGAAAGCUAGAGCAAACAUUUUAACAUCAUCUUUUACUCUUACUGUAAUAUAAAGAAUUUUUUAAAAGUAUGGCAAGUUGUGCUUGUUAAGUGAACAUAGUGAGAGAUGGAAACUGUGGUGUCACUGCAUCAUCCCACUUCUUUUUCAGUUAUGAAUGGCUUCAGUACGUCAUUAUAUUCCUUUUUUCUUCUUCAAACAGUGUGAUGCCUUCCCUGUCUCUCAGAUGGUCAAAUCUUAAUGAGUUCAACAUUUUUCUAUAAAUUUUAUGGAACUUUCUGUUUGAAUAAAUGAAUUUUCUAUGAGCAAAAGUGCCAAAAUGUUAAAAAGCAGUAUCUAUAUAGCACAAACAAAACAGUAUAAUACAUGGAAGGCAUGUAUUUUGAAUUGUUGAUGGAGAUCUCAAGGUAUAACUUUGACUAAUGGGAUAAACCAUUGCAUCUUUUGGUGGGGGCUAUACAAUUUGGUUAAUUAGAAUGUUUUGUGGUUUGUUAUGCCUCUUCCCUAUCCCUGUGUAUGUGUACAAACACAUAUUUAAGAUUCUAUGUCUCUGGCAGGACCCAUUGUUUUUGCUUGUUUUAAUGUAAAACACUUUACUAUGGUAAAGUACACUUGAUGGGAUAUAUAAAUAAAUGAUGGUGGUGCUGUUGAUGUUAAUUAAUUGUUUAGAUUGUAAGCCUGAGAGGAGCUGUCUUGCUCCUCCUCCUCCUCUUCCUCCUCCUUUUCUUGAUGGAUACAUAAGCAUAAGCAGUUUUGAUAUCCAUUCUGUUGUAGGGCAAGGUAUCAUUGCUAUGAGGGAAGGAGGGAGGGAAGAGGAGGAGGAAGCAUCUGUCACCACUGCUCCUUCACUCUCCCGCCCUCCCUCCCUCACUCACUCACUCGCCAGGCGGGUCCUGGUGCUGCUGCUGUCACUGCUGGGACCCGGCCUUUUGAGUGAGUGAGUGAAUGAGCGAGAGAGGGCCUUUGCCACUCCCUUUCACUUG
This 1321-nucleotide long non-coding RNA is filed under the name Anolis carolinensis (green anole). RNAcentral's name for it is "lncRNA (ENSACAG00000044211.1)". The record is from RNAcentral. Lineage: Eukaryota; Metazoa; Chordata; Lepidosauria; Squamata; Anolidae.